RNAcentral lists this unclassified non-coding RNA (378 nucleotides) under uncultured Chlamydiales bacterium. RNAcentral describes it as "contains 16S-23S intergenic spacer region". Lineage: Bacteria; Pseudomonadati; Chlamydiota; Chlamydiia; Chlamydiales. The record is from RNAcentral.
UCCUGGUUAACCCAGGCAGUCUCACUAGAGUUCCCACCAUUACGUGCUGGCAACUAGUGAUAAGGGUUGCGCUCGUUGCGGGACUUAACCCAACACCUCACGGCACGAGCUGACGACAGCCAUGCAGCACCUGUGCAGCGGUCCCGAAGGAAGAUCAUAUUUCUAUGACUGUCCACUGCAUGUCAAACCUGGGUAAGGUUCUUCGCGUUGCAUCGAAUUAAACCACAUGCUCCACUGCUUGUGCGGGUCCCCGUCAAUUCUUUUGAGUUUCACCCUUGCGAGCGUACUCCCCAGGCGGCAUACUUAUCGCGUUAGCUUCGGCACAACCGGGGUUGAGUCCGGUUACACCAAGUAUGCAUUGUUUACGGCAAGGACUAC